AGUGAACGCUGGCGGUAGGCCUAACACGUGCAAGUCGAACGGCAGCACAGUAAGAGCUUGCUCUUACGGGUGGCGAGUGGCGGACGGGUGAGGAAUACAUCGGAAUCUACUUUUUCGUGGGGGAUAACGUAGGGAAACUUACGCUAAUACCGCAUACGACCUACGGGUGAAAGCAGGGGAUCUUCGGACCUUGCGCGAUUGAAUGAGCCGAUGUCGGAUUAGCUAGUUGGCGGGGUAAAGGCCCACCAAGGCGACGAUCCGUAGCUGGUCUGAGAGGAUGAUCAGCCACACUGGAACUGAGACACGGUCCAGACUCCUACGGGAGGCAGCAGUGGGGAAUAUUGGACAAUGGGCGCAAGCCUGAUCCAGCCAUACCGCGUGGGUGAAGAAGGCCUUCGGGUUGUAAAGCCCUUUUGUUGGGAAAGAAAAGCAGCAGGUUAAUACCCCGCUGUUCUGACGGUACCCAAAGAAUAAGCGCCGGCUAACUUCGUG
RNAcentral lists this ribosomal RNA (492 nucleotides) under uncultured bacterium. Its description in RNAcentral is "partial 16S ribosomal RNA". It matches the Rfam family "Bacterial small subunit ribosomal RNA", at positions 29 to 507 of the family's 1533-position model. The record is from RNAcentral.